Molecule: long non-coding RNA, 1290 nt
Filed under: Eutrema salsugineum
Lineage: Eukaryota; Viridiplantae; Streptophyta; Magnoliopsida; Brassicales; Brassicaceae
Description: long non-coding RNA (ESAL_LNC000443)
Source: RNAcentral
ACUUCAAGAUGGAUUGGUCUCAUCUCUUUCUUCACUGAUUCCACAAACUCCAUAUCGAUUUUGUUGCCGGAAAUAUCUCUGACGUAAAAAGCGUUGAGCGAUUUCUGGCCUUGCGUCUCCACGUCUGCACGGACAACAGUCAAGCCGUUCUCACGGAGCACACGAGAUAUGUCAGAGAGUAAGCCUACUCUGUUCUCUGCGCAUAACUCCAACUUCACCCCCUGCAUAUUAGCCAUACACCACACACCCAAAUUGUUUACCAUUCUUAACUAGAAUCCAACAACUUGGUGAAUCUUCCUCUAAAAUUUCUUCUGUCUGAAGCAUUCCAAAGUUAGUAAUUCUGGAUUGAUCUCUCCUAGUUAACACAUAUAAAUGUUAACAAAGUUUUCUUUUUUUUUUUUACCUCGCAAACCCGACGUUCUAUAGCAGCUUCCAAGCAUUUGAUCACCCUUUCUUUCUCGCCUUCUGUGUUCAAUGCGCGUCCAUCUGCGUGUCUUAUGAAGUAUUCCUACAAGUUUUAAACCAAUACAUAAACAUCAAACCCUGAAAUUCUAAUAAUUUGAAGGAAGCUUUAUUCAUGGCCUACCUGAAAAGCAUCAGCUCCAUCGGACCUGAGAGCGGCGUGGAAGAUGACGUAUUGCAUAUCAAUCAACGUGCAGAUUGUAUCAAACAUGAGCCUUCUUCGAUCCUUGGACUUCACUGUCACAAUAGAGUAUCCUCUCUCUUCACAAUUCCCAAUCGAAACUCUUGUUGUCUUCCUCUCCUUCUGAUCACAGUACUCUAAUUUGGAAGACAGUAACGCCAAUGAAGAAGGCCCGUUAAAAGGUACGUCAAAGUCUCUAACAGAGAGCAUUAGCUGAUGCAAGCGUCUCUCCACGUUGGUAUUCAUACACCCUUUGCCUUGUCCCGCAAGAAAGCCAUCCAUCUCGUUCUCCUUGUGACCCACGUGCGUAGAGUUGGAGGCAGGAUCCGCUGUGGCACGGAUCACGGUACUGAGGUGGUCCUCAAUGGAAGCCAAGCGGCUUGGGUCAUCGAUGGGAGCGUGAGUAUUGUCGUCAGAGACAUAAGCAAUGCAAGCCAAGCGAGCGUUGUGGCUCCAAGCAUGAGCUUCUAGAACGUUGCAAUGUAAGUCCGCGAAAGCAGCGAAUAUCUCUGAGAAGAGGCCCGGUCGGUCUGUUCCAGUCAUCUCUAUCGCUGUGUGCUCGCCGUGAUCAAUCAAUGGAGGUUCCAAGGAUAUGUUGUUUGCAUUGUUAUUGGCUUUACUGGCCUUUACAGAUUCGGAUUCUCGCC